GAGUUUGAUCGUGGCUCAGAUUGAACGCUGGCGGCAUGCCUAACACAUGCAAGUCGAACGGUAACGCGGGGGCAACCCUGCGACGAGUGGCGGACGGGUGAGUAAUACGUAGGAAUCUGCCCAUUAGUGGGGGACAACCCGGCGAAAGCCGGGCUAAUACCGCAUACGCUCUACGGAGGAAACGGGGGAUCGUAAGACCUCGUGCUAAUGGAUGAGCCUACGUCGGAUUAGCUAGUUGGUAGGGUAACGGCCUACCAAGGCGACGAUCCGUAGCUGGUCUGAGAGGACGAUCAGCCACACUGGGACUGAGACACGGCCCAGACUCCUACGGGAGGCAGCAGUGGGGAUAUUGGACAAUGGGGCAACCCUGAUCCAGCAAUGCCGCGUGUGUG
This 392-nucleotide ribosomal RNA is filed under the name uncultured Gammaproteobacteria bacterium. RNAcentral's name for it is "bacterial SSU rRNA". It matches the Rfam family "Bacterial small subunit ribosomal RNA", at positions 9 to 407 of the family's 1533-position model. Lineage: Bacteria; Pseudomonadati; Pseudomonadota; Gammaproteobacteria. The record is from RNAcentral.